CCUACGGGAGGCAGCAGUGAGGAAUAUUGGUCAAUGGGCGCAAGCCUGAACCAGCCAAGUCGCGUGAGGGAUGACGGUCCUAUGGAUUGUAAACCUCUUUUGUCGGGGAGCAAGGCCCGCCACGUGUGGCGGGAAGGAGAGUACCCGAAGAAAAAGCAUCGGCUAACUCCGUGCCAGCAGCCGCGGUAAUACGGAGGAUGCGAGCGUUAUCCGGAUUUAUUGGGUUUAAAGGGUGCGUAGGCGGAAGGUUAAGUCAGCGGUAAAAUGUCGGUGCUCAACACCGGCCGGCCGUUGAAACUGGUCUUCUUGAGUGAGCGAGAAGUAUGCGGAAUGAGUGGUGUAGCGGUGAAAUGCAUAGAUAUCACGCAGAACUCCGAUUGCGAAGGCAGCAUACCGGCGCUCAACUGACGCUGAGGCACGAAAGCGUGGGGAUCGAACAGGAUUAGAUACCCCUGUAGUC
This 460-nucleotide ribosomal RNA is filed under the name uncultured bacterium. Its description in RNAcentral is "partial 16S ribosomal RNA". It matches the Rfam family "Bacterial small subunit ribosomal RNA", at positions 338 to 795 of the family's 1533-position model. The record is from RNAcentral.